AAUCAUACAAGUGUGAAUUGAAAGCAAUUAUGUGCACUUCUAUGCUUGUCCACUCACAUCAGCCACAAUACUGAAUUUUGUCCAUGUAAAGGUAAAGGAAAUUAUAAUGAAAUCAAUUUUUGGAAGAAUAUACAGUCAAUUGCUAAUCCUUCAUCCAGAUAAGAACACCUUUAAGCUUGCUACCAACUAUAUUGUCAGGUCUACUUGCUACAUUACAAAGCAGUGAAAUAAUUACCCAAUGAAGUGACAUGAAAAACAAAACAAAGAUUUAUUUUGAAGCAAGCAUUAUCUGAAAUAUGUCAAACUUUAUACAUCAUAGGACUAUCAAAACCCAGAGGAAGAUGGAACAAUAAUCAGUUCUCCUAUGCGAUCCAGGCUUCAUUUACACACCUAGAGCUUAUCUUCCUUGGGAACAUCUUUAUGUGGCAGCUCUUUAGGUUUUGCCUUCUCCAUUUCCCUACAAAAUAUUAUCAAAUUGUGAUUCAUACUGACAAAAGAUGGCUUGCACAAACUUAUAAAUGCAAAUACAAAAGAAAGAUGCAGGCUUUCUCACGAGAACAAAAAAAUAGAUAGCUCAUCCACUACAGAGUUCGGAAAGGAGGAGAAACUCCAACCUCAUUUACAUGAAAUCCUAUAAUAAUCCACUCUUCCUGGGUGUCUACUUGUUUCUUCUUCCAGAGUAAUACAUUAUUAGGUUUCUCAACCAUUUGAGUUCAUAUAAU
RNAcentral lists this long non-coding RNA (722 nucleotides) under Panax ginseng (ginseng). RNAcentral describes it as "long non-coding RNA (PGIN_LNC015903)". The record is from RNAcentral. Lineage: Eukaryota; Viridiplantae; Streptophyta; Magnoliopsida; Apiales; Araliaceae.